This 1441-nucleotide ribosomal RNA is filed under the name Serratia marcescens. RNAcentral's name for it is "16S ribosomal RNA". It matches the Rfam family "Bacterial small subunit ribosomal RNA". The record is from RNAcentral. Lineage: Bacteria; Pseudomonadati; Pseudomonadota; Gammaproteobacteria; Enterobacterales; Yersiniaceae.
UGAACGCUGGCGGCAGGCUUAACACAUGCAAGUCGAGCGGUAGCACAGGGGAGCUUGCUCCCUGGGUGACGAGCGGCGGACGGGUGAGUAAUGUCUGGGAAACUGCCUGAUGGAGGGGGAUAACUACUGGAAACGGUAGCUAAUACCGCAUAACGUCGCAAGACCAAAGAGGGGGACCUUCGGGCCUCUUGCCAUCAGAUGUGCCCAGAUGGGAUUAGCUAGUAGGUGGGGUAAUGGCUCACCUAGGCGACGAUCCCUAGCUGGUCUGAGAGGAUGACCAGCCACACUGGAACUGAGACACGGUCCAGACUCCUACGGGAGGCAGCAGUGGGGAAUAUUGCACAAUGGGCGCAAGCCUGAUGCAGCCAUGCCGCGUGUGUGAAGAAGGCCUUCGGGUUGUAAAGCACUUUCAGCGAGGAGGAAGGUGGUGAGCUUAAUACGUUCAUCAAUUGACGUUACUCGCAGAAGAAGCACCGGCUAACUCCGUGCCAGCAGCCGCGGUAAUACGGAGGGUGCAAGCGUUAAUCGGAAUUACUGGGCGUAACGCGCACGCAGGCGGUUUGUUAAGUCAGAUGUGAAAUCCCCGGGCUCAACCUGGGAACUGCGUUUGAAACUGGCAAGCUAGAGUCUCGUAUAGGGGGGUAAAAUUCCAGGAGUAGCGGUGAAAUGCGUAGAGAUCUGGAGGAAUACCGGUGGCGAAGGCGGCCCCCUGGACGAAGACUGACGGUCAGGAGCGGAAGGGUGGGGAGCAAACAGGAUUAGAUACCCUGGUAGUCCACGCAGAAAACGAUGUCGAUUUGGAGGUUGUGCCCUUGAGGCGUGGCUUCCGGAGCUAACGCGUUAAAUCGACUGCCUGGGGAGUACGGCCGCAAGGUUAAAACUCAAAAUGAAUUGACGGGGGCCCGCACAAGCGGUGGAGCAUGUGGUUUAAUUCGAUGCAACGCGAAGAACCUUACCUACUCUUGACAUCCAGAGAACUUAGCAGAGAUGCUUUGGUGCCUUCGGGAACUCUGAGACAGGUGCUGCAUGGCUGUCGUCAGCUCGUGUUGUGAAAUGUUGGGUUAAGUCCCGCAACGAGCGCAACCCUUAUCCUUUGUUGCCAGCGGUUCGGCCGGGAACUCAAAGGAGACUGCCAGUGAUAAACUGGAGGAAGGUGGGGAUGACGUCAAGUCAUCAUGGCCCUUACGAGUAGGGCUACACACGUGCUACAAUGGCGUAUACAAAGAGAAGCGACCUCGCGAGAGCAAGCGGACCUCAUAAAGUACGUCGUAGUCCGGAUUGGAGUCUGCAACUCGACUCCAUGAAGUCGGAAUCGCUAGUAAUCGUAGAUCAGAAUGCUACGGUGAAUACGUUCCCGGGCCUUGUACACACCGCCCGUCACACCAUGGGAGUGGGUUGCAAAAGAAGUAGGUAGCUUAACCUUCGGGAGGGCGCUUACCAC